CAAUAGCGUAUAUUUAAGUUGUUGCAGUUAAAAAGCUCGUAGUUGGAUUUCUGCUGAUCGCUGUCGGUCUGCCGUCAGGUGUGUACUGGCAGUGUUUGGCAUCUAUUCGAGAUUGGGUGUCCACUUGAUUGUGUGCACUCGAUGUCGGAGCUAAUACUUUGAGAAAAUUAGAGUGUUCCACGCAGGCGCGUGCCUUGAAUACUGCAGCAUGGGAUAUUGGAAGGCCGAUUGAGCUUUCUUGUUGGUUCUCGGUUUGAUCGGAAUGAUUAAUAGGGAUAGUUGGGGGCAUUCGUAUUCAACUGUCAGAGGUGAAAUUCUUGGACUUGUUGAAGACGGACUACUGCGAAAGCAUCUGCCAUGGAUGUUCUCAUUGA
Molecule: ribosomal RNA, 374 nt
Filed under: uncultured eukaryote
Lineage: Eukaryota
Description: partial 18S ribosomal RNA
Rfam family: Eukaryotic small subunit ribosomal RNA
Source: RNAcentral